GCCGGGCACAGUGGCACGUGCCUGUAGUCCCAGCUACUCGGGAGGCUGAGGCUGGAGGAUCGCUUGAGUCCAGGAGUUCUGGGCUGUAGUGCGCUAUGCCGAUUGGGUGUCCGCACUAAGUUUGGCAUCAGCAUGGUGACUUCCUGGGAGUGGGGGACCACGAGGUUGCCUAAGGAGGGGUGAACCAGUCCAGGUUGGAAACUGAGCAGGUCAAAACUCCCGUGCCAAUCAGUAGUGGGAUCGAGUCUGUGAAUAGUCACUGCACUCCAGCCUGGGCAACAUAGCAAGACCCCAUCUCU
RNAcentral lists this signal recognition particle RNA (299 nucleotides) under Saimiri boliviensis boliviensis (Bolivian squirrel monkey). RNAcentral's name for it is "Metazoan signal recognition particle RNA (ENSSBOG00000000292.1)". It matches the Rfam family "Metazoan signal recognition particle RNA". Rfam says of the family: The signal recognition particle (SRP) is a universally conserved ribonucleoprotein. It is involved in the co-translational targeting of proteins to membranes. The eukaryotic SRP consists of a 300-nucleotide 7S RNA and six proteins: SRPs 72, 68, 54, 19, 14, and 9. The record is from RNAcentral. Lineage: Eukaryota; Metazoa; Chordata; Mammalia; Primates; Cebidae.